Molecule: long non-coding RNA, 7553 nt
Filed under: Solanum tuberosum (potato)
Lineage: Eukaryota; Viridiplantae; Streptophyta; Magnoliopsida; Solanales; Solanaceae
Description: long non-coding RNA (STUB_LNC006528)
Source: RNAcentral
UGACUGACUGCAGCAUUUGUGAUGAAUGAAAUCAGUAGCCCCUCUGCUGAUGAUCCUUUGCUGCCGGUCUGCCGGAUACUGCACACAGACAGGAACAACCAAGAUACAAUGUCAUAUGUGUGAGGGGACGGCCUUUUUACAUUCAAGUAUGUUAGAUAUUUGCCUUUUAUGUGUGAAUUAAUUGUGGAAUUUUACUUUUGAGUUGCAAUUUGUUAAAUCCAUGUCUUCUUAGGUGGGGAGGAAAGUCAUAUAUACCGUGUCAAAUUUGAGAUUUGAGGGAAGCUAACUGGCCUUCUUCGUGAUAUCUGUAUUUCCGAUUUUAUUUGCUUUGUUGGUUUGUUUCAUGAUCUGUUUUUCUGGCCGCUAAACAGAAAUUAGGAUUUAAUAGAACAGGUAAGUAAAAUAGAGGUGAUAUGUCUAGAGACUGGAAACAAAUCCUCUUCUGUUUUGUGGUCUGUCAGAUUCUUCUGGUAGUCCGAAGAUCCCCGAAUUCCUUAAAAUUGGACCAUGGUUCGCAGAAUGCAAGAUGUAAUCUUUGAACUUGUAUAUGGCUACUGUAUACAGAAUUGCAUAAUCAUAGAAAGAUUGUGCUUGGAGGAUUAAAGAUACACCCUAAAAAGGGAAGUUUAAUUGCACGUCAAUCUGUUGAUAAUAUGAAAUGGGUCUUUUUCUUGAACUAGUAUAUGGUGUUAUGUUAAACGUGUUACACAUAUAUUGCCCUUUCAUGCUACAACAACAACAUACUCAGUGAAAUCCCACUAAGUAGGGUCUACGAAGGAUAGAGUAUACACAGACCUUACCACUACCUCGUGGAAGUAGAGAGGUUGUUUCCGAAAGACCCUCGGCUCAAGUGCGUCAAAUUCAAGUAAAAGAAGAAGACAAUGAAGAAAACAUAGCAGUUAAAUAAGAAAAGCAGUGUAUAGUCGAUAAAAAAGCAAUAACAACAACAAAAUAGUGGGGGUCAUGUACCCUUUCAUGCUACAUGAGCAAAAAUACCUUGAACUGCAAUUUAUUUCAUUAGAAUCAUUGCAUGUUCUUGCUAUUAUUGUGAAAAAGACUGAGUAGCUAUAAUAGGUUACAGGAAAAAUACUAUUUUGUAUUUCUGGGAUGCGCUACUUAGGAAUAUGUUCGUGUUUCGGAGGCCAGUUUAUGCUGAAAAGACACCUUUUUAGAUUUCAUAAACCAUACCAACUUGAAGUGUUUUAUCUGGUGGAAUUUGAAGUGCAGAAAUAGCUGCCCUGCUAUUCUUCUGAAGAAACCUGUACAAGUACUCUAUAGUGAAGCGAGCAAACCAACCUUUAUUUGCUUUGAGAAUGGUUCUUCCUAACACAAAAACGGGUCCUCUUUCAGCAGCUGCAUCUAUUUUUCGUUUUUCACUAGUAGACUCGGCUUGGUCUUGGAGUUUUGUGAUCAUUAAAGUAACAAAGUCAUCUCCUUCCAUGCUUUGAGAAUCCUUAUAUCCAAACUGAAUCAAACACCGAUAAAAUCCUUCAACUCCCGUCUUCCCCACAUUGUAACGUUCCUCCACCAGGACGGUUUUGAUGGGAAGAGUUCUAACAGUGACAAUUACCAGGAUUUCUCUUACAGAAUUUGUGUGCUGAAUGUAAUGACAGAUUAUGGGUGGAAUGCCAUUUCUGAGAUCAGUGAAAAAGAAGCAAAUUCCUGGUGCUCGGUAUGUACUAUAGCUUGAUAGCAUUUGGUCUAGAUCAGGUAAACUCAUCUUUCUAUCUGCUUCAUAUUCUUUUUUCUUACUCCUUCCAUAUGUCCAAGAUAGCAUGAUAGUCAAGAAGAAAGCAGAAAUAGCAAAUGGCACCCAUCCUCCUUGUGGUAUUUUAUUGAGCAAAGAUGUCAUGAAACAACCUUCAAUUAUUAUAUAAGGCAAGAAAAAUGCCAAAAUGAGAAUGAUAUUUGUCUUCCAUAUGAUUAGCAUCACUAAUGCUGUCAAGAAUGUUGUUAUGAUCAGGGGCGGACCCACGUGGAGGUCAGGGGGUUCACCCGAACCCCCUCAUCGAAAAAUUACACUGUAUAUAUAAGGUCUAUUUCUGAUUUUAUGAGUACAUAUAUUAAAAUGAACCCCCUCAAUUUUUAAGAGAGGCAUGGCUCAGUGGUUAAGGGGUUCAACUCUAACCAAGAGGGUCUGGGUUCGAUUCCCACUUGCAACAUUUUUCCAUUUGUUUUUUUUUCUUUGAAAGGUUGAAUGGGCUCUUGCUUUGGGCUCAAAUCCAAUUCCAUUUCAUUGUUUUUAGAAGGCUGUAUGGGCUCUGGUUUCGGGCUCAAAUCCCAACUCAAUGAAAUGUCUCACUAUUUGAUUAUUAUUAAAUUUGAAAUUGAUUUACAAAAAUAUUAUAUAAAAAUAAAUUAAAUUAAAGUUAAUCGAAUGAAGAAAUUUAAAAGUCGUGUAUAAUCUUUUAAUAAAAUCUAAUUAAUUGAUUCCCGCCCCUCCCCCCCCUCUUAAAUUUAUAGUAUUUCUUUCUUAUUUUUUUUCAGUUUGAUUUUAAAAAGAUGAAAACUAAACUAAACUUAUUUGUUCUAUUCAUCAUUUGAUGAAUUAUUAUUAAAUUUGAAAUUGAUUUACAAAAAUAUUAUAUAAAAAUAAAUUAAAUUAAAGUUAAUCGAAUGAAGAAAUUUAAAAGUCGUGUAUAAUCUUUUAAUAAAAUCUAAUUAAUUGAUUCCCGCCCCUCCCCCCCCUCUUAAAUUUAUAGUAUUUCUUUCUUAUUUUUUUUCAGUUUGAUUUUAAAAAGAUGAAAACUAAACUAAACUUAUUUGNNNNNNNNNNNNNNNNNNNNNNNNNNNNNNNNNNNNNNNNNNNNNNNNNNNNNNNNNNNNNNNNNNNNNNNNNNNNNNNNNNNNNNNNNNNNNNNNNNNNUAAACUUAUUGGAUUCAGAUUACUAGUUUCCUCCUAUAUCUCGCUCAGUUUUUUAUCUUGUAAUUUUCACAUGUUUACUUCUUUAUAUUUCGAACCCCCUCCACAGAAAUCCUGGAUCCGCCACAGUUGACACCCCUUCGUUAGAAAACUAUAUUGUAUAGAUAGGUAACUUAUUUAUUUUAUAUAUAUGUGUUAUGAUAUUGAUAUCCUUUGAAUUCUUCAUGAAUUUACUUAUUUAUAUUUUGACAUUUCUUUAUGAAAAUUCUGAUUCGAACACUAAAAAUAACUAUCAAUAUUAAAUGACUGAUGACGACGAUCAUGCAUGAUAAAAGGAUGAUCAAGUGAACAACUCUAUCGACAAUUGCAUUGGGUAUCAAAUAAGGAUAAUAUACUUAAUAAUAUUGAUAUUUUUCUUUCUUUAUAGAAUAGAAUAAUGAGUUGGCACCUUUUUGAAGUUUCUUUUUAAGCACGUCGCCAAAAGUCAAAAUUCUUUUGGAUAUCCCUUUCUAUGGACGUCAUUUAGAUUUUGUCAUCUAUUAAUGAUUUUGUGCCAAUUAUUUAUAAGAUCGCAUAAGAUAUAAACGUUCUUUUUAACUUGACCUCAAUUGAUAUUUAUCUAUGUUUUUUAAUUUUGAAUGUAUAUAAGUAGACACUUGAAUUUGUACAAAAUUGAACAAAUAGACACAUUCAUCUUACGUGGCAUCCUACAAGUCAACUGUGUGUCCUACAUAUAUAUUAUGUCACGUAGGAUACAUAUAUAUAUCUAGGAAAAGUUAAUCCACAUAUACAUAUAAAAACAUAUAUUACAUCGUAUAUACGUAGAAAUUAGUAAUAUAACAAAAUAAUUACUAGUGAUGACAGAUUUGGAUUAUUUAAUAAUUAAUUUAAUUAUAUUUGAAUUAUUUAAUAAUUAUAUUUUUUUUGCUUUAGUGCAAAUAAGAAGCGUGCAAUUUUUGUAGUAGUACGUACCUAGGAUAUGAUCAUGACCCAGAUGACCACCACCCCUGUAGUUGAAAAAGAAAAGUUAGUUCCAUUUCUCAGCGAAGUACGCUUUAUUUGGACUUCCAGUUGUGGUUUAACUUAACAACAACAACAACAGAUCUAGUGUGAUCCCACACUUGUCUGGAGAGGUGGGUGGUAUGCAGACUGUACCCUACCUUUGCGAGGUAGAGAGGUUGCUUACGAUAAGACCCUCUCGGCUCAAGAAAAGCGUUUUUCAAACAUUUUUAUACUAUUAAUUUUACUCGUUUGGAAACCGACUCUCUACCUCCACGAGGUAGCGUAAGGUCUGUGUACACUCUACCCUCCCUAGACCUCACCUGUGUGAUUACACUAGGUAUGUUAUUGUUGUUGUUGAAUUAAUAAUAAUUUUACUGAUUAUAACAGGUUAUUUACCAUUGUUACAGAUUAUUAACCCAUUCUUGCUAUAAAAAGUUGCAUAUAAUUGGUUAUUUUAAGUAGCAUGAUAGUAUUAGAUUUUUAAGUUGUCGGUGUACAAAAAGAAAUCUGAGUGAUGCUUACCAUAGGCAUUUGCUAGUUCAACACCUCCUUUGAAACCAAGAACGAGAGUGACACAAAGAAUCAUGAGGAUGUAGUUUACCUCUGGGGAAUAGAUUUGUCCUUCAUGCUUGGAUGAAGUAUGUAUAAUGUUUACUCGAGGGAAGCAUCCAAGAGCAAGUGAUUGCUUUACAAUGGAAAAAGUUGCUGAUAUCAUGGACUGGCUAGCAACCACGGCAGCUAGAGUUGAGAUUACAAACAUUGGCCAGUAAACAGGUUUUGGUAGGGAACUGUAAUAAGCAUUGUUGAUAUUCUCUGGAUACCUCACUAGAUAAGCUGUUUCUCCGGCAUAGCUGAGAACUAGGGAUGGAUAAACUACAAAAGAAAAUGCCAACUGCAAGACUCAUUGUACAGAAAUGCCAUCAAUCAGAUUAACUUUUCUAAUGGUAGAUUAGAGUUCUUUGUUCCUUACCUGAAUUGCUCUUUUAUUGAAAUGACCUAAAUCAGCAAACAUGGCUUCCGCUCCUGCAUGACAGUUUAAAACAUGUCGGAAGUGAACUAAUUUUCUCCUAUUUCAUAUGCUUUUCUUUUAUCUUUUUUUUCCCCUCAAAAUUAGUUGUAAAGUUAAACCUGUAAUGCUUAGAAAUACUGCACCGAGAAGAUUCCAAGCAGUCUUUCCAUUUCUUGAAACAAAUUUCACUAUGUAGUGUGGAGAAAUGGCUUUAAGAACGGAUGGAUAGUACUCCAAAAUAUUGUAGAUACCGACUGAAACAUUGGUAGCAAACCACAAUAACAUUACGGGUGUGAAGCAGAAGCUAACUUUGCUUGUUCCACAGCGUUGAAAAGUGAAAAGUGCGAUUAACAUAAUCACAGACAUGAAAACCACAUGAUCUGCAGCCAAUAGAACUUUCAUUAAACCUCACGUUUUGGUGAGUAAAUGGAAGCAGAUCUGAACUAGCAAUAGAACUGUCUUUUGAAAAUUAUUUUGACUUUACCUUGUGUUAUCUUGGAAGAGAGAGAUUGAAUUCCUUGCAGGGCUGAGAGAACUGAUGUAACAAGUGUAUGGACAUGAGGCAACGUCGAAAGGAAAUAUAACUUGGAGAAAACAAAGGAAGAAUGUUACCGCAAGUAGCAGGAGUGAGAGCUCCAUCACCAAUGACCAUACAAGUUCCAAGUAAAACAACAAAAGUAAGAACAUUUUGAGCUGUGGAACUUUUCUCCAGGAACUUCUUAGUUUUUGAACGCCUAGAACUUCCACUCUCUUGGCUGUAAUAAGCCAUGCUCUCAUCAGAUUCCAUCCUAACGUUGUGGAUACUAAGUUUGCUUUGGAAAUUGAUAUGGCGACAGAGAUAUGAAUAGAGAGCAAAAGUACCGCCUUCUCCAUGAUCAUUAGCAUGGAGGACGAUGAAGACAUAUUUGACUAACACAAGCAACGUUAGAGUCCAAAAGAUUAGGCUGAAUGUCCCAAGUAAAUCAUCUUCAGUGAGAUUUGUCAAGCGAGUAGAGGAAAAUACAUUGACAGGAGAAGUGGCAAGGUCCCCAUAUACAACUCCAAGAGAUUGGUAAGCCAACAACAAGGUCUGCAUGGGUGGAUAUUCCUGAGAAAAAUACUCAAAAUCUCAAUAUCCUAUGAAGUGACUUAGAAGUUUCAAGGCAGUAACAAAAAAAAGUGUGAAGUUAUCAGAUUUUAUCGAAACUGGUAGUAGCACUAGCACACAUCGAGGGUAAAAUGAGAACAGGUUGCUUGUGAUGAUUUCAUCAUGUCCUAUGUCAACCUCCAGAUGCACCGGUCUGCAGGAACCAUGAUGACUUAAGGUGUUCAAAAGGAAGAGGUAGUUAUAACUUAAUCACAUGAAGGAAGUUAUCCCGAAAGACCUACACUCUCUUGAAAUCUAUGCAAACCUAGCAAAAGAUCGGGCACAAUGAAAGAAAAGGAUCUAUGUGGAUGAUACCAGUUAGUUGGUUUAAGCUUUAAUUAUGCUAAUAUGUUUACUUUCGAUCCCAAUGUUUGUUGGGAGUUUUUAGGUCUUGUUUGAGAUUUCAUGCGUGGGAAAUGCAGACAGCUUCUAGUGCUACAAAAACUAAUUCUUUAUUAUAUUUGAACUUAGACAAAGCUUAAUUGAGUGACAUGGACAAUGAGAAUUCAUAUAGCCGAGGAUUCACAUAGACGGUCUUAAAUAGAGGGACAGUGGAUAUUUCUUGGAAUAUUGAAGAUGAGAAAAAGUAAAGCUUACCUUAGCUUUGGUUAAGGGAGACUGGUAUGUCUGCAUAACUGUCAUGUAUGUUUCCAUAGCAGGUACUGGUUCUGGAACAACUCUCCUGCUGUUGUUACAAAGGUCAAUACGGUUACUAUCUUCAAGAUUGCUUCUACUUUCAAUAUCAUAGUUCUUUAUGCUGGAAUUGUUGCUUUUAACAUCUUCCAUGUUUUAAAUGCAGGACACUUCCAAUAUUCUAGUUAAGAAGUUGCCGUACAUUGUGUCAUGCUUAUAUAGCUUCAAAAAAGCCUCAAGGACUAUCGAUUUGCAAACAGGGAUAUCGAUUUGGUUGAUCCUAAGAAUAAAACAAAAGAUAUAAGUUAGUGCUGCAAAUUCUAAAAGCCACAAGUUGCUGGAGAGGGAGCAGGUAAAGGAACACAUCAUCAUAUAUAUAUUUUAGCAGUAAUUCCACCAAUUUGCAUACAAAUUUAUUUCAUCAUCCUGUUGGAGCACUUAUCGAUUCGCAAACAGGGAUAUGAAGAUAAAUUAUUGGUACAUUUUCUUGUUGACAUAUUAUAUUUUAUACCAAGGAGUGACUACACACUCUCACAAGUGACAUAUAACCAGAAAUUUUUAAAAAUCUGCCACUGUUGCUUUGUUGGAUGAACCUUAUCUAGUCUAGUCUAGUCUAGUUAAAUAAAUCAAGCUUAAAUUUUUGCAGUAAGUUGAUGACAAGUGAAAACUAGUAAAUCCUCUGAUUAAAAAGGUAAGCUUGAUUAAUGAACAAAAGCUCAUAUGCAAUUUUGCUGGCUUAUGAUUCUUUUGAUUAUGAAUUUUUUGUUUUAUUAUAGGUAUAUAUAUCAGUGUUGACACAUCUUGACCUAAGCUGGUCCAAUGUAAUGGUUAAGGUGUUGCACAACUUUCUUAAACUCGUGUGUUCAGUCCUAGCUAGCGACAUCAUUAUAUUUGCCUUUUUUUUACAUCUUUAAUAAAAA